RNAcentral lists this long non-coding RNA (677 nucleotides) under Heterocephalus glaber (naked mole-rat). Its description in RNAcentral is "lncRNA (ENSHGLG00100051804.1)". The record is from RNAcentral. Lineage: Eukaryota; Metazoa; Chordata; Mammalia; Rodentia; Bathyergidae.
CGCCGGCUCCAGGUUUCCCCUCCCAGCGUGGGGUGGCAGCCUGGAGAGGCAUCUGCAGAAACCACGCGAGCCCCGGGGAGGAGAGCCCAUGGUGCACACAUAGGCGCGUGUCGGGGACCCCAAGCCCCUGGGCCCCGGGCACACUCGCAGAACCGCUGCAGGGACGUGGCCCAAGCUGGAAUUGCCCUGCGCACAGGCCAGGACCUUUGGGAGCAGCGACUGUCGAGAUAAGGUCAACGGCGGGCCCGCGGUGACUCAGCUCCCCUUGGCCCCGAGGAAGCUCGGCUGGCCCGGGGGGGCGGGGCCUGCGACGCUCCGCCCCCUGCUCCGGCUCCCGGAAGGCGCCCCACACCACCCCCAGCUUCCCAGAGGCGCCCAGAUUUCCCACGGGUUUUCCUGGUGGUGUCGUAACGAGCCCGGCCCUUUCGGAGCGUCCCAGGGCCCCGAGUCAGCUCCCUGUGACGGGACACAUGAGGAUCUGAGCGCCGCACGCUCCCUGACUGUGUGUGUGCGUGUGGUAAGGGAGAACACCAGUUUCAAAGCAGCUCUUCUGGCCCGGCUUGAUGGUUUUCCUCGUACUUCCUCCCUCUGGGACCCUACAGUAGGCAGAGGGGAGCGGGACUCACCGGGCCCCUAUGCCAGGCCUGCCCUCCUCUUCAUGGUCACAGCCCCACGAC